AUACGGAGGAUGCGAGCGUUAUCCGGAUUUAUUGGGUUUAAAGGGUGCGUAGGCUGUGCGUUAAGUCAGGGGUGAAAUGCCGUUGCUCAACAUCGGAGCUGCCCUUGAUACUGGCGUGCUGGAGUACGGAUGCCGUUGGAGGAAUGAGUAGUGUAGCGGUGAAAUGCAUAGAUAUUACUCAGAACACCGAUUGCGAAGGCAUCUGACGAAUCCGUAACUGACGCUGAGGCACGAAAGCGUGGGGAUAGAACAGGAUUAGAUCCCCUGGUAUUCCACGCCGUAAACGAUGAUGACUAACCGCCGGCGACAGACCGAUCGGUGGCCAAGCGAAAGCGAUAAGUCAUCCACCUGGGGAGUACGACCGCAAGGUUGAAACUCAAAGGAAUUGACGGGG
RNAcentral lists this ribosomal RNA (394 nucleotides) under uncultured bacterium. RNAcentral's name for it is "partial 16S ribosomal RNA". It matches the Rfam family "Bacterial small subunit ribosomal RNA", at positions 523 to 918 of the family's 1533-position model. The record is from RNAcentral.